This 1184-nucleotide long non-coding RNA is filed under the name Corvus moneduloides (New Caledonian crow). RNAcentral describes it as "lncRNA (ENSCMUG00000005586.2)". Lineage: Eukaryota; Metazoa; Chordata; Aves; Passeriformes; Corvidae. The record is from RNAcentral.
GGUGCCUUAGAAAUAAGAUAUCAAAAGGAGAAUUCAUGGAUAUUUUGAGAUUAAUUAUCUUUAUGUUUACAGGGUGAAAAAGGCUUUCCUGGUGUGCCAGGUCCACCUGGUCAAAGAGGCUUUCCUGGUCCAGAAGGGCCUCCAGGACCACAGGGACCAAAGGGUUCUCCAGGGCUUACAGGCUUAGUUGGACCCAAAGGUAUACGAGUAAGUGUGUUUUAAACAAACAUAUAUAUUAAACGUCUUGCUAAUUUCCACCUUGGUUCAAUAAUUUGUGAAAAUAAAAGCAAAGCAUUAUGUAUAAUUUCAACGUAUGGUUAAAAUUUAUUACAUGGUGUAUGCACAAGCAUUAUUUUUAGACCUUUUGCCCUUUUUGCUACACCUUAUGUACAAGGUUAUUGCUGUAUGUAUUUAAUAUUUGGGUGUGCAGUGAAAAAGUCAGACUAGAAUACCAUGAAGAAUUAUCUGGGGUUUUUUCUGUGGACAAAACUGGUGUGUGUUACCUGUUUGUAACCAUUAUGCUUGGUUUACAAUCAUAAUAGUUAAGGAAGUAACGAUCUUUUUAAUAGAAUCAUACUUGCAUUAGUUCUUAUUAUGAAUGUAAUCAAAGAAAAAUUGCUGAUGAGCUUUUGUUUAAUAUUCAUAAUAUUAUUCUCUGGUUUAAUUUCGUUAGGGAGUCCCAGGAAUACCCGGAUUUUCAGGUCCUCCAGGCCUUCCAGGUGAACCAGGAACUGUUGGUCCUCCUGGGCUCCCGGGUGUUCCAGGAUGCAAUGGCACAAAGGGUGACCAAGGAUUUCCAGGUCCUCCAGGUCAAAGAGGUGCUCCAGGCCUUCCAGGUAUUGCUGGUAUCAAAGGAGAGAAGGUCAGUUAUUUGCAUCAUAUUACACAAAGUAUUUAUUGGUUAUCAACAAUUUGUGUGUGUGUUUGUUGCUCCUAACCUCUCCAUUCAUGGGAAACAGAAGGUUUGCCUUCCAGAGGAAGCAACCACAAAGUUUGGUGCUUCCAUUGUCCUAGCAGCAUUCACCUCAGGUUGCAAAAUGGUCUAUUAUUUCUUUUCCCUCAAACUACUGUUACUGCAUAUAAUGAAUUUAACACUUUCAAGCACACAAAGAAUUAAGCUCCUCUCCCAAACAGUUCAUGAAUUCAUAUGGAAAUCUGCAGAUGCUCUAGACAGUAUUUUAUAG